UACGUAGGGGGCAAGCGUUGUCCGGAAUCAUUGGGCGUAAAGAGCGUGUAGGCGGUCCGGUAAGUCCGCUGUGAAAGUCGGGGGCUCAACCCUCGAAUGCCGGUGGAUACUGUCGGGCUAGAGUGCGGAAGAGGCGAGUGGAAUUCCUGGUGUAGCGGUGAAAUGCGCAGAUAUCAGGAAGAACACCCGUGGCUAAGGCGGCUCUCUAGUACGGUACUGACGCUGAGACGCGAAAGCGUGGGGAGCGAACAGG
Molecule: ribosomal RNA, 253 nt
Filed under: uncultured bacterium
Lineage: Bacteria
Description: partial 16S ribosomal RNA
Rfam family: Bacterial small subunit ribosomal RNA
Source: RNAcentral